Molecule: ribosomal RNA, 539 nt
Filed under: uncultured bacterium
Lineage: Bacteria
Description: bacterial SSU rRNA
Rfam family: Bacterial small subunit ribosomal RNA
Source: RNAcentral
GAGGAAUAUUGGUCAAUGGGCGAGAGCCUGAACCAGCCAAGUAGCGUGCAGGAUGACGGCCCUCCGGGUUGUAAACUGCUUUUAGUUGGGAAUAAAAAAAGGGACUUGUCCCUUCUUGUAUGUACCUUCAGAAAAAGGACCGGCUAAUUCCGUGCCAGCAGCCGCGGUAAUACGGAAGAUCCAGGCGUUAUCCGGAUUUAUUGGGUUUAAAGGGAGCGUAGGCGGAUUGUUAAGUCAGCGGUUAAAGGGUGUGGCUCAACCAUACAUUGCCGUUGAAACUGGCGAUCUUGAGUGCAGACAGGGAUGCCGGAAUUCGUGGUGUAGCGGUGAAAUGCUUAGAUAUCACGAAGAACUCCGAUCGCGAAGGCAGGUGUCCGGGCUGCAACUGACGCUGAGGCUCGAAAGUGUGGGUAUCAAACAGGAUUAGAUACCCUGGUAGUCCACACAGUAAACGAUGUAUACUCGCGGUUUGCGAUAGACAGUAAGCCGCCAAGCGAAAGCAUUAAGUAUACCACCUGGGGAGUACGCCGGCAACGGUG